This 438-nucleotide ribosomal RNA is filed under the name uncultured bacterium. RNAcentral describes it as "bacterial SSU rRNA". It matches the Rfam family "Bacterial small subunit ribosomal RNA", at positions 954 to 1391 of the family's 1533-position model. The record is from RNAcentral.
GCAAAACGCGAAGAACCUUACCUAGGCUUGAACUCCUACGAACCUGUUGUAAUGGACGGGGUGCCCGCAAGGGAAUGUAGUGAGAGGUGCUGCAUGGCUGUCGUCAGCUCGUGUUGUGAAAUGUUGGGUUAAGUCUCGCAACGAGCGCAACCCCUAUCGUCUGUUGCCAGCAUUUAGUUGGGCACUCUGACGAGACUGCCUGGGUUAACCAGGAGGAAGGUGGGGAUGACGUCAAGUCCUCAUGGCCCUUAUGUCUAGGGCUACACACGUAAUACAAUGGCGCGUACAAUGGGAAGCGAACUAGUGAUAGGGAGCAAAUCUCAAAAAGCGCGCCUUAGUUCGGAUUGGAGUCUGCAACUUGACUCCAUGAAGUUGGAAUCGCUAGUAAUCGGAGAUCAGCACGCUCCGGUGAAUACGUUCCCGGGUCUUGUACACACC